AUCCAACCCAUAUCCAAUAAUUAAGCCCUGCAUAUACAUACACUCUAAUACUCUAUUGUAUGUAUAGAUAGACAUUGAUCACAGGAACAAAAAAUUUUCAGACAUGGCUUACAAAGGUCUAGAUUGUAUCACCUUAUCAGACAUAGAAGCCACCGGAGUAACUUCACAACUUGCCCAUGAAAUUUACAACAAACUCAUCAAAAUCAUCCAAAUUUACGGCCCUGCCACUCCUGCAACAUGGCAGACCAUUUCUACAACCAUUCUUACACCCAAGUUACCUUUUUUACUUCAUCAGAUGAUGUUUUAUGGGUGCUACAAGGACUUUGGACCCGACCCACCUGCUUGGAUACCCGACCCGGAUGGUGCAAUAAUAACGAAUGUUGGGAAACUUCUUGAGAAACGUGGGGAGGAGUUUUUAGGAUCAAGAUAUAAAGAUCCUAUAUCAAGCUUCUCUGAGUUUCAGGAAUUUUCGGUCUCUAACCCGGAGGAUUAUUGGAAAACCGUUUUGGAAGAACUAGAUAUUUCAUUCUCAGUGCUGCCUCAACGUAUUUUGAAGGAGGAGCUUUGUACUGGAAGCGAGAUUUGUCACCCAGGAGGUCAAUGGCUUCCUGGAGCAUUUUUAAAUCCUGCAAAGAAUUGCCUGUGUUUAAAUAGUAACCGAACUUGGGAUGAUAUAAUGGUAGUAUGGCGUAAUGAAGGAAAUGAUGAAAUGCCAGUUAACAAGUUGACCCGUAGGGAAUUGUGCUCAGAAGUCUGGCUAGUUGCACACGCGCUGGAAACUCUUGAAUUGGAGAAAGGUUCUGCAAUUGCAAUUGAUAUGCCUAUGGAUGUUAAUUCUGUGGUGAUAUACCUGGCUAUAGUUCUGGCAGGCCAUGUAGUAGUGUCAAUAGCUGAUAGUUUUGCUUCUACUGAGAUAGCAACAAGGCUUAAGUUGUCCAAGGCGAAAGCAAUUUUUACUCAGGAUUUUAUUGUACGUGGUGAUAGGCGACUACCCUUGUACAGUAGAGUUAUUGAUGCUCAAUCGCCAACAGCAAUUGUUAUUCCAACAAAAGACUCCAGCUUUAGCACAAAGUUGCGCGAGGGUGACAUUUCAUGGCAUGAUUUUCUAGAACGGGUUCACAAAUUGAAAGAGGUUGAAUUUUUUGCUGUGGAAAGACCAGUUGAAUCUUUCACUAAUAUUCUAUUCUCCUCGGGAACUACAGGGGAGCCAAAGGCUAUUCCUUGGACUCUUGCAACACCUUUAAAAGCUGCUGCAGAUGGUUGGUGCCACAUGGAUAUUCGCAAAGGGGAUGUCGUUGCUUGGCCCACUAAUCUUGGUUGGAUGAUGGGUCCUUGGCUAGUCUAUGCUCCUCUGCUGAAUGGGGCUUCAAUAGCGUUAUAUAAUGGCGUUCCCCUGAGUUCUGGCUUUGCGAAGUUUGUUCAGGAUGCUGAAGUGACAAUGCUUGGUGUGAUUCCAAGUAUUGUAAGGACAUGGAAAACUACUAAUUGUACAGAUAGCUAUGAUUGGUCGGCCAUUCGUUGCUUUGGAUCCACUGGUGAAGCAUCAAACGUAGAUGAGUAUCUUUGGCUAAUGGGAAGAGCUAAUUACAAGCCUGUUAUCGAGUAUUGUGGUGGUACUGAGAUUGGAGGUGGAUUUGUAACUGGAUCGCUACUGCAGCGUCAAUCUCUAGCAGCCUUUAGCACACCUGCUAUGGGGUGUAGUCUCUUUAUUAUUGGCAAUGAUGGAAUUCCUAUACCACCAAAAGUUCCUGGAAUUGGUGAAUUGGCACUUUAUCCCUUCAUAUUCGGCUCAUCAAGCAUACUACUAAAUGGGAAUCACUAUAAUGUCUACUUUAAAGAUAUGCCUUCAUGGCAUGGAAAGAUGCUAAGAAGACAUGGGGACAUGUUUGAGCUUACUUCAAAUGGAUACUAUCAUGCGCAUGGUCGUGCAGAUGAUACAAUGAAUCUUGGUGGUAUCAAGGUAAGCUCGGUUGAGAUAGAGCGUAUUACUAAUGCGGUUGAUGACUCUGUCCAUGAGACAGCAGCCAUAGGGGUGCCACCACAGGGAGGUGGACCCGAGAGAUUGGUUAUUGCUGUUGUUUUUAAAGAUUCAAAUGUGUCCACACCGGAUUUAGACAAGUUGAGGGUAUCUUUGAAUUCCGCACUGCAGAAGAAAUUGAACCCACUGUUUAAGGUGUCUCAUAUUGUUCCCGUCUCAUCUCUUCCCAGAACAGCAACAAAUAAGGUUAUGAGACGAAUUUUGCGACAGCAGUUCACCAAAAUUGACCAAAACUCUAAGCUGUGAGCUUCAUUAAUCUCAAAACGUGUUUCAACUCCUUUUUAUGUUCAUAACAAGUAUAUAGUGGUACUUCUGUAGCUUAGUGAUCCAUUGAUUUGGAAUAUAUAGUAUAUAUGUAACUAUAGGUUACCAUCAUAGAUAUCGUAUAUAGAACCUUAGGAUAAUCUGUCAUUCGGUUUACUAUUAGGAAGAUACAAUCAAUAUUGAUAAUUGAAAUUGUACUUGUAUUUAUGAAUUUGAAUCUCAGUUGUAAUAAAUCAAGUAAAUCCAUGACUAUCCUGUUAGAGCAUCUCCAACCCUCUAAAAAAACCCUUAGUUUUAAAUGGAUAAAUGAUACCGUAAAUAAAAUUAUAAAGAACAUUUAAAAAAAUAUUGCAUUCCCCUUGUCUAAAAAUUUAGCCAACCCGGUGAUGUUGGUUAUAUAUAUCAAAGCCCAAGACACCCGUAGCAAGAUUCCAUUAUCUAUUAACAUAAUAAAAUAAUAUAUUGUAUUUAUAACAACUUGAAAUAAUAAUAACAUACUAUGUUUAAAAUAUAGCCAAUACAUCAGAGGACAAAACCUUAUGGUUUCAACAAAUUUACAAAUUUUACAUAAUCAAUAUUUUAUACUCCCUCCGUCGCUCCCAUUGUUUACUAAUGGUUGAGCGUGGAGAUUAAGAAAAUGUAUAAAGUAGUGGGAAAGAGAAAGAGAAGUGGGUAAAUUUGUGAGACCAAUUGAUAUUUAAUGUAUAAAGUGAGUAUAGCGGAGGAAAGUAGUGGAUGUAUUUAAUUUUAUAUUAUAAAUUUUCUAUUUUUGACAGGUUUUGAAAUGUAAAAAAUAGAAUGGAUAUCCUGAAAAAUGGUUGGGAUAGAGGGAAUAUUAUUUUAGCCAGCAUGCCCUUAUAUCAAAACUAAGUUUAAAAUUUAAAAAAAAAAAACAACUAAGUUUUGCAAAAAUAUUAAUCCCAAAUCUUAGUGAGUCAUCAAAGUAGGAUCUUGUACAUGUAGUUAAUAUAGAUGUAAACUUCAACUAUCAAUCAAUAUUUUUCAAUUAAAUCGAAACUAAUAUCAGGAGCUACAAGUAAAAUGGUAUCUCUAUAUUUUUUUAAGGAAAGGGUAUGUUAUCAUAAAGAUGAAUUUAGCAAUCUUGCUUUCUUGCACUUUUUGUUGGGAAUUAAUUGGCUCCAAGCAAUAGUUUAUUUAUAUGUACUCAUGUAAUAUUUCAUUAUUGAUUAAAGUUGAAAUGAAUAAGAUCUCAGGAUUUAUUGUGUGUUUUUUGCCAAUUCUUUGUGGAGAUAGGUAUUUACCCUUGUUUUUAACAUGUCCUGCAUAUGAUAUAAUAUGAUAUCAGAGUCACCGUUCCUCCCUCCAAACACUGCCUUCAUACAUACUCCCACAACCUUCACCUUUACCAAACACGUUGCCUAAUGCCUACAAUUAAAAAAAGAAAUGACAGCCACCAGAAACCUCCGACCAAAGCCUAGAGCCAUCACUAGCAAAGUGCCUUGUUCCUGCAGUUUUAAAAUAUACACAACAGCCAGUCCCUGAUUAACAUGAGAUGAUUAGCCAGGUGACUUGUAGCUUGAGACAAAAACCUUUACCCGAAAUUACCAAUCAACUCCUUCCUCAAUUUGUUGAAACUUGCAUUAUAUCAAUAAAGAUUGCCGGACAUUUUUUUAACAAUAGUAGGGUUUAAACCAGGUCGAUACAUGCUAACCAAGGUACUUUUAUCAUGAUUAAAAUCUAAACGAGCGGACAAGUGACAAAACUUACUAGUAUAAAUAAUCUAUACCAAAUGUGAUGACCUAAAUCUCCAAGACAAUUUUCCAACUCAUCACAUGCCUUUUGCUCUAUACAAUCAUCUAAUUAUAACCAUGAGGAGGGCACUCUUCUUCCCCUUUAACAAAUGUUAGGGGUGAUCAAAAAACCGCCCAAACCGCACCGCAAAACGCGGUUUUAAAACUUUGUGGUGCGGUUGCGGUUUGAAUUUUUCCCAAACCGCGCGGUGUGGUGCGGGUUGCGGUUUGACAUAUUACUAGUGCGGUUCAAACUGCACCGCACCACAAUGUUGUAAUAUAUAUAAAUAUAUUAGUGAUUGUCGAAUAAAAUUUUAUUAUAUACAUAUAUAUUAUUUAUAAUUAUGUUAUAUAUAUUUGUUAAAUCUUUUCAAAUAAUAGUUAAUUAUUAUUUUAUUAAUCUCAAGUUACUAUUAUACCAUAUUUGUAUGAAAUGAUUAUAUUAUUAUAAUAUGUCUCUUAGUACUCAUAUUUAUUAUUAUAUUUACAUUUUUGUUUGCAUUAUUUUAGUAGUUGUAACUCUGAAAUGAUAAAUAUCAUAUAAAUUCAUUACAAGAAAAGAUUUUAGUUAUUGUAUAUUUAAAGGGAAUUGAUAAAUAAGCUCCAAAAUUUACUAUUUAAGCUCCAAUUCAAUUUUUUUAGUUAUCCAAGUCUCACUAUCACCACUAAUAUGGAUGAAAUAUGUGGAGAAGGCAUGGGUAAAUAUGAUAUAAAAUUUGGAUUUGGAGCUUAAAUAGUAAACUGUGGAGCUUAUUUAUCAAUUCUCUAUUUAAAUUUUAUUUCUAACUUCAACUAAAAAUAUUUAUUCCUAAGCAUGCAAACCGCACAAACCGCACCGUACUGCAUUUUUGCGGUGCGGUUUACGCGGUUUUUAUGCUAGCGCUGUGCGGUUGCGGUUUGAGUUUUCAACCAAACCGCAUACGCUGUUUGGUAUGCGGUUUUAAAGAAAAACCACACCGCGAUCACCCCUAACAAAUGUUACCCUUUUAACCGAGUUCGGUGUUUUGGGUUAAAGACAUUUAAAAGUAUUUAUGACAUGUCUCUUGGCAGUUAAAGCACAUUUGACCCCAAUCAUAGUGAAUUUUUUUGAUUUUGAUUCCAAGCACCACAAACUUCAGCCACCACCAUUAGCCGCCAGUAUCCACACUAGCAGCUAGUAGCCAUCUUCCACCAUGACAACCCUUGAGUUUAGUUGCUACAUGCAUUAUUUUCAACAUGUUAAUACAUUAAAGUACAAAUUCCAAAAUACUAAGGACUUUUGACUUUUGGAAUUUGAACUUAAAGCACAAGGAGAAGCUUUUCAAUGAACCUUUGGCACGAUAAUAGACUAAUUCAGUAGUCGGUAAUAGUUAAAACUACUAAAGGAAGAAGAAAGCGGUACUUUGUCAGAAUGACUACAAUAGCUUGGAAGCAGAGAUCAGGAAUAAGUACAAAUGAAAAGAGGCUAGGUGAAGGAUAACUAGAGGCAGAAGGGAAUGAGGGAGAUAAGAAAAGAUAAUAUAAUAGUGGAAGAAGAUAAAUCUUGGAUGGGUGGUGUAAAAUAAAAUGACUUUACUCACCUAAAAUAAAAUGAAUAAUGUGACAUAUUUGAUGGAAUGUAGUAAAGUUGAUAAUAUAUAUGUUUCAUAAAUCUCAACCAGUGACCUUAGAGCUCAUUCCAUUCUUCCACCCAAACACAACUUAAUAGUCUUACAUUGUACAAGAGUCUCCGUCCCUCCCUUUAGCCAUAAAAAUUGUCCCAGUCAUUCUGUUCAUACUUCUGCACUUGUUAUUUUGUUAUGUAUGUUGGCAUAUUACCUAUUUAUAUCUUCGAUCUCCUUGAGUUUAGUUGCUAAAAUCCCUAGAUUGAUAAAUAGUUCCAUAUGAUUGUCCUUUGUAACCUCAGCUGUUCCUAAAAUCAGUUCAGAUAUAAACAAGGAGCAUAGCACCCGCUGUGAUGCAGCAAGAUGGAAAACCACUAAUUAAUGAUGAAGAAGCAGAUGAUAGUGAAUAAUGUACGAAAAAAGAAGAUGAAGGCUGCAGAGGAGAAGAAGAUGAAGAAGCAAGAAGUACUGUUGACGAAAUAAUUUGAUUCUCAAUUGCAGUCUGGUAAUCAGUUUUAAAGUACUGUUCCGCGGACACAGGGAGAGGCAUUUAAAACAAUUUUAUAUACAUUUUUUUUUGAAAAUUCAGCGGGGUUGAGAGCUUUUUCCUUUGUGAGGAUAUAGUCACAUCUAUGUUUUAACAGACAAUCGAGGCUCGUUAGUGGUAUAACAACUUCUGCAGUUCAUUUCAA
Molecule: RNA transcript, 6328 nt
Organism: Daucus carota subsp. sativus
Lineage: Eukaryota; Viridiplantae; Streptophyta; Magnoliopsida; Apiales; Apiaceae
Gene name: hexanoyl-CoA synthase
Exons: 15
Source: RefSeq, a predicted model, not a curated record